GGGGAUACCCAGGUGCUAAACCCCCUUCCCUCGUGGCAGCACCCAGUCCCCUCUCGUUAAGUCUCUUCUAACCGCACGUCAGAACCAGCAACCAAUCCUGGAUUGAUUUCCGCUCCCCAGCGACCUUCCCCAAAAUCUUUUAGCUGGAACCCAAACCUUAAAAAGAUACUUUCCUUUCUCGUCUUGGGGUGCAGCAUUUCAAGAUUCCUCCGGAAUUCCCUCCCCGACUUCAAAUCAACAAACCUGAUUUUGUCAAAGUACGACUGGAUCCUGUUCUUAGGUGAGACGCCCCAGAAUUGGCUCCUGUUGUCACCUCUGGGACACAGGCAUUUUCUCCACUGCACUGAGAAGUAAUGACAGCCACGAGCUCCCCUGCUCUACCCCCAUCAAAAUCCCUAGCAGGCAUAUUGGAAACCCGGUCACCUUGGCAUUGGCUGACAGCCACGCUAAUCCCUGCUGUUUGUUGUCAGAUGGUGACCGCAGGGGCAUGCUUCACCCGUUCUAGAAGCACUUCUUUCCUUACACGCUCAGUCUUGAGGCAUUAGCUACGAUCCCCUGGACUCACUCUCUGAGGCAGGGAUCUGGAAUCCUCUCUUCUGCAGACAGCAGCUGAGCUGGGGACGUCUGAACAUCUGGGGAUGAAUGUGCAAGAUGCUCAACAAGAAUUCUGGCUUCCAGCUGCAUAGCUUUCAAGGUCUUCCCUCUGUGCUCCCCAUCUGCCUCGCUCUCCAGAUCUCUCCGGGCUUCUGUCUCUCUCCCUGACACUGCAAACUCCAACUUGGGGGCCCUUCCCUGUGGAUCACCUCUGAUUUCUCACUGACCUCUCAUCUCCUGCUCUUUUGGAAUGUCUCACCUCACUUCCCUCUGUUACAUGGGGUGAAGUUGGUGAAGGAAUAAAAUAGGAUUCCCAGACUCUUUCCCAAGGCUGCUGGUACAGAUGGCUUUGGCUUCCUGCUCAAAGUAUCCUAGUUAUCUGCCCGUCCCUAUCCCUUGGGUAAGCCGUCCCCCACUGGCUAUCCUGCUAGAAGGGAAAUCCGUCCAUGGGUCCCCAGAAUCAUACCCUUUGAG
Hyaena hyaena (striped hyena) is the source of this 1068-nucleotide long non-coding RNA. RefSeq lists it as uncharacterized. NCBI's taxonomy places the organism in Eukaryota, Metazoa, Chordata, Mammalia, Carnivora, Hyaenidae. The transcript has 4 exons. The record is from RefSeq and is a predicted model, not a curated record.